This 446-nucleotide ribosomal RNA is filed under the name Vibrio alginolyticus. Its description in RNAcentral is "bacterial SSU rRNA". It matches the Rfam family "Bacterial small subunit ribosomal RNA", at positions 233 to 671 of the family's 1533-position model. Lineage: Bacteria; Pseudomonadati; Pseudomonadota; Gammaproteobacteria; Vibrionales; Vibrionaceae. The record is from RNAcentral.
AGGUGGGAUUAGCUAGUUGGUGAGGUAAGGGCUCACCAAGGCGACGAUCCCUAGCUGGUCUGAGAGGAUGAUCAGCCACACUGGAACUGAGACACGGUCCAGACUCCUACGGGAGGCAGCAGUGGGGAAUAUUGCACAAUGGGCGCAAGCCUGAUGCAGCCAUGCCGCGUGUGUGAAGAAGGCCUUCGGGUUGUAAAGCACUUUCAGUCGUGAGGAAGGUAGUGUAGUUAAUAGCUGCAUUAUUUGACGUUAGCGACAGAAGAAGCACCGGCUAACUCCGUGCCAGCAGCCGCGGUAAUACGGAGGGUGCGAGCGUUAAUCGGAAUUACUGGGCGUAAAGCGCAUGCAGGUGGUUUGUUAAGUCAGAUGUGAAAGCCCGGGGCUCAACCUCGGAAUAGCAUUUGAAACUGGCAGACUAGAGUACUGUAGAGGGGGGUAGAAUUUCA